GACGUAGGGUGCAAGCGUUGUCCGGAAUUAUUGGGCGUAAAGAGCUCGUAGGCGGUUUGUCGCGUCGGCUGUGAAAACUCGGGGCUCAACCCCGAGCCUGCAGUCGAUACGGGCAGACUAGAGUGCGGUAGGGGAGACUGGAAUUCCUGGUGUAGCGGUGAAAUGCGCAGAUAUCAGGAGGAACACCGGUGGCGAAGGCGGGUCUCUGGGCCGUAACUGACGCUGAGGAGCGAAAGCGUGGGGAGCAAACAGG
RNAcentral lists this ribosomal RNA (253 nucleotides) under uncultured bacterium. RNAcentral describes it as "partial 16S ribosomal RNA". It matches the Rfam family "Bacterial small subunit ribosomal RNA", at positions 524 to 776 of the family's 1533-position model. The record is from RNAcentral.